This is a long non-coding RNA of Onychomys torridus (southern grasshopper mouse), 2436 nucleotides long. RefSeq lists it as uncharacterized. The record is from RefSeq and is a predicted model, not a curated record. NCBI's taxonomy places the organism in Eukaryota, Metazoa, Chordata, Mammalia, Rodentia, Cricetidae. The transcript is spliced from 14 exons.
GGGGCAGGGUCCGCAGCUGCGCAGAGAAUGAAAUGGAGGGUCCAACACUGACAAGGCAGGCCUCUCCUCAGGAUGAAAACCUUGGCAGGGGAUGAAUGUUGAGCCAUCCACUAGAGCUUGGGAAAGCUACCCCUAGCCACUCUCCUAAAGAAAACUUACUUUCCUACACCUCUGGCAGCCAUCAAUGGCCAGGCUCACAGAGAAAAACAGCACACAUUCUCUCUAACAGAUUCCCAGUUUCUCUCAUUGAAGAUUUUAUUAGAGAAGAAAAAUUUUAUACCAAGUGUAUUUAUGCCCACAACCAUGUAAAAAUGUGACCACAGGAAGAAUACAGGAGAAGUGAAGUAAUAAAGGGGAGGAUGUGAAGAGACACAGCUAGCAAGUAUGUGCCAUCCUGUCAGCCACAGAUGGCUCAACCCCAGUUUAUCUGGGCCAGAAAUGAAGAUGUGGAAUGGCCAAGGCUGAGGACUGAACAUCUAGGCUAUUUCUGCCAAGCCUGAUAGCCCAGUUCAUGUGGUAGAAGAAACUAGCUUGUUGAGUCAUUUCAGUUCAACAUGGAAUUAAACGCCCAAGCCACAGCAGAAGCCUCAAGGGGACCUGACCAGCUGAGCCAUCAGGAAAACUUCCUCCAUGGAUAUUAAUCUAUAUUCCAGAACAGAGAAACAAGUGAGUGGUGCAUAGAUUAAAUAUUUGAUAUCAGGUAUUACUAUUAAGUAUAUUCAGCCUCUAUAAAACUGUAGAGGAUGUCAUGAGUUUUUAUAAGAGUGUGUGGAGCAUUAGAGGAGUUGGUAGGCAGAGGAAGGGUACACAUGAUGUAAAUACAGCACCCAUGCAUGAAAUUCUAAAAAAAACCCAACAACAUAAAAACAUAUUAGAAAGCCUCAGAAUACUGUUUACACAGAGUUCACUAUACAUUGUCCUAUAACUUGAUAUUUUGACCUUUGUUUCUCAAUUGCUCUUUUGAAAGUUAUUUCACAAAUUUACUUCACUUAGCUGUAUGCCCCUUAGAGUUUUCAGACUGUCUUAAAAGUAUUUAGAUUUGUGCUUCCUCCAAACUAAAAAUAUUGAUUUUUUUAUUCUCUUUUUGUAUCUUUGUAAAACUACUUUGGAGACAUGUCUGUUUAAGGAAUUAUUUAUGUAGAGCUCUGGGAACCCCACAGAAGAGGAGGAGGAAAGACUGUAGGAGUCAGAAGGGAUGGAGGACCAGGAGGAUGGAGCCCACUGAAUCAGUAAGAAGGUCUGAUAUGGGCUUCCAGUGACUGAAGUGGCAAACACGGAGUCUUCAAGGGUCUGUACUUGGGUCCUCUGAGUGUAUGGGUCUCACCAUACUGCUCAUGACAACCUCUGACUCGGGCCCUGAGGAGGUGCUUCUCCCCUGUCUCCUUUGGAGCAUUCACUGAAGACACAGACCCCACACCUAGCUGGUGGUCAAUGUCCAGUAAAUGUUCUGUGAAGUGGUAUCCACCUGUAUUUUCUCUGUUAUAAUGCUGGGAAAGCACUGAGCCUUUUUAGAAUCUUAGGAAUGUGAGGUAUUUAUGAUACAGUCUGACUGCUGCUCAGUGAAGUUACAACUCAAGCACUGAAUCCACGCUUUCUCUCAGCAUCCUGAGAAGCUCACACUGGACACUGCUGUUCUCAGCUUAUGGAGCUGGUCACUCAAGAGUAGUCACAAAGAAUGGAUGAUGUGAUGGACCAUGUGGAGGAAGAUUGAAGAGGCAGAGAAAUGACAUCAAUUAAUCUGGUCAGGAGGGAGAUUUGCUCCAUGUGGAUGUCUAGAUGGAUCACAUUGAUGUUGUGGGAAUGAGAGUCCACUAGAAAUCUGAAGGAUUCCCUGUCUUGGAUGAAUGGACCCUUUUGCGGGGACACAUUGCUCAGCCUGGAAGGAGGGGACUGGACCUGCCUGGACUGAAUCUACCAGGACCUCAUCAUUUGCUGACUCAGUCACGAAGGAGGUGCUUCUCUGCCUUCUCCUGGGAAGCUUUUGCUGAAGACACAGACCUCAUACCUAGCUGGUGGUAUUGUAAUUUGAGGGACUUCCUGCCUUUUAAUUUUAAUUAUUAGUUUCUUGUGUGUGAAACUCAGUUAAGUUUUAUGUUUAUGUGCAUUAGGAUGUUUGCUGACCAUACUUUUAAAUCCAUACAUUUUUGUGAAUGUCUUAAUAUUUCUGUAGAAAUUGCAUGGUGUUCUUUCCACCUAGAUGUAGUGUAUAUUUCUUGCCAUAGAAACUGUUCAUUCUCUCCACCAAUUUCUCUGAGGAUAGUGUCCGGUAAAUGACUGUGAAGUGGCAUUCAUUUGUAUCUUUCCUUGUCUAGCUUUGGGGAAUGUACUGAAACUUUUAGGAUUCUAGGUAUUCCAUUCCAUUGAAAUUCAUGAAAUUCAUGUAUACAUGACCUGAUAUGUCGAGUCUUUUAUUUUUAUUGGAUUAAUCUCUCUUAA